Molecule: ribosomal RNA, 425 nt
Filed under: uncultured bacterium
Lineage: Bacteria
Description: bacterial SSU rRNA
Rfam family: Bacterial small subunit ribosomal RNA
Source: RNAcentral
AACGCGAAGAACCUUACCAAGGCUUGACAUAUAGCGAAAAGUGGCAGAGAUGUCAUGUCCGCAAGGGCUCUAUUCAGGUGGUGCAUGGUUGUCGUCAGCUCGUGUCGUGAGAUGUUGGGUUAAGUCCCGCAACGAGCGCAACCCUUGUCUUUAGUUGCUACGCAAGAGCACUCUAAAGAGACUGCCGGUGACAAACCGGAGGAAGGUGGGGAUGACGUCAAGUCCUCAUGGCCCUUAUGGGUAGGGCUUCACACGUCAUACAAUGGUUGGUACAGAGGGUUGCCAAACCGCGAGGUGGAGCUAAUCUCUUAAAGCCGAUCGUAGUCCGGAUUGGAGUCUGCAACUCGACUCCAUGAAGUCGGAAUCGCUAGUAAUCGCAGGUCAGCAUACUGCGGUGAAUACGUUCCCGGGUCUUGUACACACCG